This is a long non-coding RNA of Chloebia gouldiae (Gouldian finch), 2695 nucleotides long. NCBI's taxonomy places the organism in Eukaryota, Metazoa, Chordata, Aves, Passeriformes, Passeridae. The record is from Ensembl.
CUGUUGGAUGCAGCUUCCAGUGGCAGAUUUCUUCUUCCUGUGCUAGUACCAAGCUCACAGGGCCCAGCAGGAGGGACUCUGUGAGAAGUGGGAUUUGCCCUCUUUAACAGCAGUAAUGUCCCAGGACAGUCCUGGCACUGCAAACAUGUUUUCCCUCUGCAGUUUGCAGUAACACUCAGGAAUAUCCGAACUCUUGCAAAGCAAAGCUUGAUUAAAGGAUGGGUUUAGUCUCGGUGAGAUUCCAAGGACUCCUCCUUUGAAGCAGCGUGUGCAGAAGGAUCUGAAGUGUUCCUAUACCCUCCAAGUUUCAGACGGAUUUUGGAAAACAUGUAACCUUCCCCUAACCGUCCCCAAGAGCAGACAAGGGGAGUGUGAUUGACAUUUGCUCCAAGCAGCAGCCUGAUUGCUGAGAUCUUGCAGACAGCUGGUUCCUUGGAAAUAAGAAGUAGACCUCACAGCCCUGGACUUUACUGAAGGCAUGAGUAUUCUGGUCAAGUACAAGAAGAGGAAGGAGGAAAGAGAAACACCUGCAGCCGCAAAAGCUCUGGACGCCGCUAAGAGGAACCCAGCGCCGAACAGAAAAAAACCGAGGUUCCCGGAUCCUCUUCGCAUCUCUGCUCUCUACCCCAGCGGGAGACAGCCACGCUGCGGGGGCAGCCGUGCUGCAGGGGGCCUUAAGGGGAGAAGACUUACCCCAGGACAGAGAGGGAGGUUUUGGCAGUUUGCUGGAUGGACUGAGCCUGAAGAACGGCGCAUCAGAGCUUGCUGCUGAUGGCAUUUGCCUGAGAACACCACAGACUAAUAGUGGCCGAACCCAAGGCUUCGGGGACAAGCCUUGGUUAACAGGAACACCUAAAUCUCUAGAACAGCCAAACCAUGAAAGAAAAUGUUCCCAGUUCAGCGUAAUUUUUCCAUCACCUGAGAAGAACAAUCGAGCCACCACUGCCCGUGCCUGGAGGGUAAGCGGGACUGGAGCAGGGAGAUCCCCUGGCGAGCAGCUGGGUUUCCCCUUUCUUUUUUUUUUCUGCAUUUUAACCACCGCCCGCGCCCAGAUCCGGGCUGUAUUUUUGCAUGUCCGCAGCAGACAGGUGGAUUUUUUCUUUUCCAAGGGGGAGCUAACCCUGCUCGGUCUUUUGUGGCGGGGACUCAUAUUUGGGGGCUUUUUCUCGGAAAGCUGUCCUUUCUAUCCUCUCCUCCCUGUUCUGGGCUCUGGGGGCAGAGAGGGUAGAAAAGACACAAAUGGGACAGAAUUGUAGAUUGUGACACGUCAGCUAUAGGAGAGUUGAUAGUAUCUUAAGAGAAGCCCUUCACAUCCACGCAUUUCAUCGUCUUUCAGUCGCAUCGCGCCCCUCUCCUUUAGAUUUCCCCUUUAGCUUUUGUAAAGCUUCCCAUUCCCUUUUCCCCACCGACUUUCCAAAACCCUCUCCCUUGGGGAUGGCAGCAUACGAGCCGCCCCAAGCGCCCUGCCGGACCCUGCUGCUCUCCCUUAGGGGUAGCAUUGGCUGUGCCACCCCGGGCGAGAUGCAGCGUGCCCGGCACCCCCUCCCAAGAUGAUGCUGGCCACGCCACUUGGAACCCGUUUUCCCGCCUUGAUCCUUCUCUUCCGCCCCGAGUUUUCCCGCCAGCCCCACCCCUCCCUCAAGGGCCCUGCACCAUCCUGCAGUGAGGCCAGUCCCUAUUGUUACGAGGCGGGGUUGGAUCAAUCCCUCAGUCCUUCUUCUGGCUCUCCCUGUGGGGGGAAGGAUUGCCAGGGGCACCUCUCGUCAGAGGACCUUUUUUCUUAGGAGAUCAACCCCGUUUUUGGGGGGGGACCUCCUUCGGAGCAAGGUGAAACCAGAAACCUGGAUUGGGAAUCCACCGUUUUGUUUUCCCCCUAAAAUGGUGGCACCCAUGUUCACCCCUUACCGAUUCCCCUUUCUAAUCAUGACAAUCAUUAAUCAAGUGAUUGUCUGAUUUCCCUAUCCCAUCCCUUAAGUGUACCUUACCCAAAGUUCCCUUUUUAUUCCGACGCAAGCCUUUCUUACUACUUUUGCUCAUUUUAAAAUAAUUGCUUUGAUUGAGUUAUAUUUUAUAGAAAGAAAGGUCAUCCUCUUUGAUUAUUGUUCAUAAUGCUGUGCCCACUUUGCAAUCAAACAAUCAAACCAUAGAAGCCACAUCGCUGCUUGCUGCUCCAGCUCUGCAAGAACUUAAACACCACAAGUGUUUCAACAGAUCAAGGCAUGAAUCCUGCUUGUACCUCUAAUCUGGAAGAAUUUGUUUGGGACAAUUUUACAUGUUUUGUUUUAAGUUUUAAAGUAAAGAAAAAUUUUACCCCAUGUAUUAUAAUUAAGAUUGAGUUAUCCUUGUCUGUUGUUUUUCAAUUUAUAAUCUUUUAAUAAUCUGUAAUAUUACUAUAUGACUUUUAUGUUUUAUUAAUUUGUUUAAAUCUCAUAACUCUCUUUCUUUUUGAAAAAAAGGAUUAGAUGUUGAGGCGAGGUUUUUCUCUUUUGUCUAAGGUGUGCGUGUUGCCCUUCCCCCCUGUUCCUUCUCCCGCACCCAGCUGCUGUGUUUCCUGGACUUUUCCCUGCACCUCCCCCUUCUGGGUUUCCCCCCACCCAUUCCCUGCCGCAUCUUAGAUUCGGGUAUAAAAUCUGUGUUCACCCAUCCUGAGGGGUCUUGGGGGCUUCCGGAAUAAAACCACACUGUUCCCCUCCCA